AGAGUUUUUGUUUUUGUUUUUAAAUUGUAUGUGUGACAAACCAUGAGAGGCUCCUGACUCUGGGAACCAGAGGGCUGCAGAAGGGGAGGAGGGUGGGGGGACGGGGUGACCGGGUGACGGGUACUGAGGACGGCACGCAAUGGGAUGAGCACAGGGGGUUGCACUAGAUGUUGGCAAAUUGACUUUAAAUUGAAAAAAUGCAAAAAAAAAAAAAUGAAAUAGUGUUCAGGAAGGUAAAACCAAAGGGAGGGGUGGGGAGGGAGCAGCUGCGGGCCCACCUUGACCUUGGCACCUCAGGGUUCCCACCUGAGAGCAGAAGAGGCCCCGUUAACCAGUGAUGUGCGCCCGCCCCCGGAGACCUGUUUCCUACCUGCUGCCCGGUGUCCCGACAGGCGGGGCCAAGGAACUGUGCUGUCCCCAGGGGUGGGGUGGGGGAGCUGGUCACCCCCUUUCCAGCCUGCCCCGGCCCCUCACCUGCAGCCCAAGGGAUGGGCUGGUAAGGGGGUCUCGCAGCACCUGCCGGGCUCCUGCCCUGGGCCCGGGACCCUCCAGGCCAGGCUCUAAGGCCUGUUAAAUGCAGCAGGGUGGCUCCCGCGCCAGGUCGCCUACGUUCUGCUUCGGCUAAGUCACUGGGAGGCUGGUGGGAAGAGAAAAAAGACAUCUCACCCCCUUCAGGCUGAGGGUCAGCAGGCACAUAGGUCUCUGUCCUUGCAAGGGCUUAGCGGGGCCGACCCCAGGGAAGCAGGGGUUAAACGCCCACUCUGGGGGGGGUGCAGAUGGGGACCUCUGAGCCCAGCCCCCUCCUUACCUGUUUCUUUGCUUCUGGGAGCAUUAGUCCCACGAAAAACACUGACAUGGAAUCCUUUUGUUCCUGGGGUGACGUCAGUGUUUCCCUUGGCAGGCGGGACCGUCGUGCAUGUCUGAACCUCCGAGGUGAGGGCGAGCGAGCGUGGCUCCUCUGGGCCAGGCACCCCGAGGGGGCUGGAACCCGACACCUGGAUGCUCCGUCCCGUCCCCGCACCCACGGAGGGGCUGCUUGCCCACCCUCCACCUGAGCGCGGAGAGCCUGCCUCGCCUACACCCAGGCCGCGGCAAGGAUCGUUUCAGCGGGAUCCAGAACAAAAAAGCAAGCGUUUUAUUAUUCCCUCCCCUUCUGCUCAAAUUCCCCUCCGUGGAGCUGAACACGAGCAUGUUACAACAGACCCCGGCUUUACUCUCAGCAUCAAAGGAUGAAUCACAGACAAGACAGCACGCAGUGGAAGGAGGCGAGGUCUCUCUGGAAGCUGGAUCUGCAGCAUCGUCACCUUCAGCGGCCCCCUCACCCCGGGGCCCUCAUCACCCCCAGUCCAGCAGCAGAUGGAGCCCGCCCCCCUGCACUGGGGGCUACCGCCCCCCCGGGCGAGUGUUGAGGGUCUGUCAGGG
Molecule: long non-coding RNA, 1422 nt
Filed under: Canis lupus familiaris (dog)
Lineage: Eukaryota; Metazoa; Chordata; Mammalia; Carnivora; Canidae
Description: lncRNA (ENSCAFG00845002847.1)
Source: RNAcentral